This 866-nucleotide unclassified non-coding RNA is filed under the name Hevea brasiliensis (rubber tree). The record is from RNAcentral. Lineage: Eukaryota; Viridiplantae; Streptophyta; Magnoliopsida; Malpighiales; Euphorbiaceae.
GAUAAUAUCGCCGCAGAUAUCACCAGGUAGCGACGGAGGUAGCAAUGCCGGCAAACGGUUGCGAGCUGCUGCUUGCCGUACUUGUCUCGGUACUGUUUUUCAAUGCUGCUGGAACUGUUGCAAACGACGGGGCAACUUUGUUGGAGAUCAAGAAGUCGUUCCGCAACGUAGAUAAUAUAUUGUAUGAUUGGGCGGACUCGCCUGCCCCGGAUUACUGCUCGUGGAGAGGUGUCGUCUGCGGCAAUGAUACCUUCGAUGUUGUUGCGCUUAAUCUCUCUUCGUUGAACCUUGAUGGGGAAAUCUCGCCGGCAAUUGGGAAUCUGAAGAGCCUUGUUUCAGUAGACCUAAAGGCGAACAGGCUUACGGGGCAAAUUCCGGAUGAGAUCGGGGAUUGUUCUUCGCUGCAAACACUGGACUUGUCCUUCAACAAUAUCUAUGGAGAUAUACCAUUUUCUAUUUCCAAGCUGAAGCAACUCGAGAACUUGAUUUUGAAGAACAACCAGUUGAUUGGUCCUAUCCCCUCAACCCUGUCACAAAAUCCUAACCUAAAAGUUCUGGACCUCGCCCAAAACAAAUUGACUGGAGAUAUACCUCGACUCAUCUAUUGGAAUGAAGUUUUACAGUACCUGGGUUUGCGAGGGAACAAUUUGCAAGGGACUCUUUCUCCUGAUAUGUGUCAAUUAACUGGGUUGUGGUUUUUUGAUGUGAAGAACAACAGCUUGUCUGGGAACAUCCCUGACAACAUCGGCAACUGUACGAGUUUCCAGGUUUUGGAUUUGUCUUACAACAAGUUCAGUGGAGAAAUCCCCUUCAACAUUGGGUUUCUGCAAGUUGCUACAUUGUCCUUGCAAGGUAACAAAUUUACA